UCAGUCGUAGCGCAGUGGUAAGCGUGCGAUUGUAAACGCGACUGGUUAUGAGUUCGAUCCUCACGACUUAA
RNAcentral lists this transfer RNA (71 nucleotides) under Heliconius melpomene (postman butterfly). Its description in RNAcentral is "tRNA HMEL009376". Lineage: Eukaryota; Metazoa; Arthropoda; Insecta; Lepidoptera; Nymphalidae. The record is from RNAcentral.